GACGAAGGGGGCUAGCGUUGUUCGGAAUUACUGGGCGUAAAGCGCGUGUAGGCGGUUAUCCAAGUCAGGUGUGAAAGCCUUGAGCUCAACUCAAGAAAUGCACUUGGUACUGGGUGACUAGAGGACCGGAGAGGAUAGUGGAAUUCCCAGUGUAGUGGUGAAAUACGUAGAGAUUGGGAAGAACACCAGUGGCGAAGGCGGCUAUCUGGACGGUUUCUGACGCUAAGACGCGAAAGCGUGGGGAGCGAACAGG
RNAcentral lists this ribosomal RNA (253 nucleotides) under uncultured bacterium. RNAcentral's name for it is "partial 16S ribosomal RNA". It matches the Rfam family "Bacterial small subunit ribosomal RNA", at positions 524 to 776 of the family's 1533-position model. The record is from RNAcentral.